GCUCUCCAGCCGGGGUGGCGGCGGCGGCGGCGGCGGCGGCGGCGGCGGCGGCGGGGGAGGGGUGCGGCGGGGGAGGGGAGGAGGCCUGGCCCCGCGGUCGCAGCCGCCACCGCCCGCCCCGACCUCCCGGACCGCCGCGGGGCCACGGGCCCGAGCCCCGGAUUCGCGCUCCGGAUUCGCCUCGGCUCGGCCGCGCGUAUAUUUGCCUUCCCUCCAUGAUCUCCAACACUAUCCGAUAAAGUAGAAGCAACUGAGGUACCGUGAAAGAGAAAGGAGCUGGAACUGAGAAAAAGCAGAGCUACUCGGAAAGCUGAGGCAGGAGAAUUGCUUGAACUCGGGAGGCGGAGGUUGCAAUGAGCCAAGAUUGCACCACUGCACUCCAGCCUGGGCGACAGAGUGACUCCACCUCAAAGAAAGAAGAACGUUUUAGACCUGGCCCACCAGAGAUCUACUUCCUAUUUCUUCAGUGAUCAAGAAGCUGCUGGGGUCGGGUACUGGCUCCAGGAUUACUCCAGUAUUGUAUUACAGCAGGAGUAAGGGGGUAUAAAGGAAGAUAGCGAGCUAGUGUUUGUAUUCUUGAUGAAAUAAAGAUGUCAUAGAAAUCAACAAUAAGAAAAAGACCAAUAGAAAAAAAAUACAAAAGUAGUAAAGUAUAUGUAC
RNAcentral lists this long non-coding RNA (660 nucleotides) under Homo sapiens (human). RNAcentral describes it as "HSALNT0236794". The record is from RNAcentral. Lineage: Eukaryota; Metazoa; Chordata; Mammalia; Primates; Hominidae.